AGUGAAGGGGUGUGGUGCACGAGGAAUUUUGGCUUCCUAGGUGGUUCUAAAAGGGGCUUUUUACUA
This 66-nucleotide transfer RNA is filed under the name Raeta pulchella. Its description in RNAcentral is "tRNA-Gln". The record is from RNAcentral. Lineage: Eukaryota; Metazoa; Mollusca; Bivalvia; Venerida; Anatinellidae.